AACGAACGCUGGCGGCGUGCCUAACACAUGCAAGUCGCACGAGAAAGUUCUUCGGAACGAGUAGAGUGGCGCACGGGUGAGUAAUGCAUGGGAUGACGUACCUAACACUGGGGGAUAACUGUGGGAAACUGCAGCUAAUACCGCAUAAGAUCUACGGAUGAAAGGUGGCUUUUUCGUGAAGCUAUCGAUGUUAGAUCGGCCCAUGUCCCAUUAGCUAGUUGGCGGGGUAAGAGCCCACCAAGGCGAUGAUGGGUAGCUGGUCUGAGAGGAUGAUCAGCCACACUGGAACUGAGACACGGUCCAGACUCCUACGGGAGGCAGCAGUGGGGAAUUUUGCACAAUGGAGGAAACUCUGAUGCAGCAACGCCGCGUGAGUGAAGAAGGCCUUUGGGUUGUAAAGCUCUUUCAGACGGAAAGAAAACGCAUCGGUGAAUACCCGGUGUGGAUGACGGUACCGUAAGAAGAAGCACCGGCUAACUACGUGCC
RNAcentral lists this ribosomal RNA (486 nucleotides) under uncultured bacterium. RNAcentral describes it as "bacterial SSU rRNA". It matches the Rfam family "Bacterial small subunit ribosomal RNA", at positions 29 to 509 of the family's 1533-position model. The record is from RNAcentral.